Molecule: ribosomal RNA, 466 nt
Filed under: uncultured bacterium
Lineage: Bacteria
Description: partial 16S ribosomal RNA
Rfam family: Bacterial small subunit ribosomal RNA
Source: RNAcentral
GAUGAACGCUGGCGGCGUGCUUAACACAUGCAAGUCGAACGAUGAAGCCCAGCUUGCUGGGUGGAUUAGUGGCGAACGGGUGAGUAACACGUGAGUAACCUGCCCUUAACUCUGGGAUAAGCCUGGGAAACUGGGUCUAAUACCGGAUAGGAGCGUCCACCGCAUGGUGGGUGUUGGAAAGAUUCAUCGGUUUUGGAUGGACUCGCGGCCUAUCAGCUUGUUUGUGAGGUAAUGGCUCACCAAGGCGACGACGGGUAGCCGGCCUGAGAGGGUGACCGGCCACACUGGGACUGAGACACGGCCCAGACUCCUACGGGAGGCAGCAGUGGGGAAUAUUGCACAAUGGGCGCAAGCCUGAUGCAGCGACGCCGCGUGAGGGAUGACGGCCUUCGGGUUGUAAACCUCUUUCAGUAGAGAAGAAGCGACAGUGACGGUACCUGCAGAAGAAGCACCGGCUAACUACGUG